Molecule: long non-coding RNA, 984 nt
Organism: Helianthus annuus (common sunflower)
Lineage: Eukaryota; Viridiplantae; Streptophyta; Magnoliopsida; Asterales; Asteraceae
Exons: 7
Source: RefSeq, a predicted model, not a curated record
AGGUUCCAACCAAAUAACUACCCUCCCAAAAUUCUAAUCCCUCUUCUCACCCGCUCCCCUGAGUCUAGCCAUUCAAAAAACUCUACUCCCAUACGUUUGAUCUGAUCGAAGAACCAAGACUCUUGCAGAACCAACUUCACCUUUCAGGCAGAUGGUCAACGAAGAAAUAAGCCAAUCAAUUCUUGUUAGUGGAGAAAGUGGAGCUGGUAAAAUUGAAAGCACAAAGAAUCUUAUGCAGUAUCUUGCAUUUAUGGCCCUUCAGAUUCAUCCGAGGGAAAACGAAGUGUGGAACAACAAGUCUUAGAAUCUAAUCCGGUUCUAGAAGCAUUUGGUAAUGCAAAGACAGAAACAAUAACUCAAGUAGUCUGAAAAGUACAAAGUUGAAAAUCCAAGAAAGAUUCAUUACCUUAAUCAAUCAAACUUUUAUGAACUGAAUGGAGUUGACGAGUCUAAAUAGUAUCUUGCUACAAAGAAAGCUAUGGAUGUUGUUGGAAUCAGCUCUCUGAUGAACAGGUGAAGCUGAAUACAUUGUGGAAAGUGAGGUCUAGUUCUCUGCAGGUGUAGCAACAUGAAAUCACCAGCACUAAAGUAAUGGGGUCUUUGCUCUCAUGUGACCAUCAAGACAAAAUUCAUAGCUUUUGUUGUGGCAAUUCAGAUGUUUAAUACUUGAGUCUGAGUGCAAAUUUGCAUCAUGAGUUAGACUAUUAGCUACUAUGGUUACUAUGUUGAACUUAGUUAUCAAGGAUCUCGUUAAGGAAAAUGAUGAAGAAAAAGAAAGGCUAAAUGGAAUUAUUGCCGGGUUGUUGGCUGAAAAAGAAAAAGAUAAGUGGAUAAAGAUGCUAUGCUCAUACGAUGUCACAAAUUGAAGCUAUGUUAACAAGUACAAUUUGAAGAUAGGCUACAAACACUUGGUUUUGAAUGUUUCGAUGUUUAUCUUAUUAGGAUUUUUUUAGUUAUUUGAUGUUUUAGCUGGUAUUUCUAUUA